GCUUAGCCCUGAUUGAGGUAUUUGUUGGAGCUCAUUUUUGUCAAAAAAUAGCGACUACCGAAAGCAGGAAAUAGC
Molecule: small RNA, 75 nt
Filed under: Lutibacter sp. Hel_I_33_5
Lineage: Bacteria; Pseudomonadati; Bacteroidota; Flavobacteriia; Flavobacteriales; Flavobacteriaceae
Description: Flavo-1 RNA
Source: RNAcentral